Molecule: non-coding RNA, 553 nt
Organism: Ceratotherium simum simum (southern white rhinoceros)
Lineage: Eukaryota; Metazoa; Chordata; Mammalia; Perissodactyla; Rhinocerotidae
Source: RefSeq, a predicted model, not a curated record
GGGGGACAGGGCUGAGCCUGCAGGCCAGCUGACCCCCCGACCUGGUCAUUGCUUCUGCUGAGCCCACCUCCAGGACUGCUCGCUUGGACCCAAGGUCACUGGCUCUGGCUUCGGGAAGACGGUGGAAGGUGGGGGGGAUGGAACUGCAGAAGCCCUGGGUCAGUGGGCUCCAGCGGGGCGAGGAGGUCACUUCUCAGGGCCCCGAGUUCUGAGCUGGCUGCACUGCAGGCAAAGGAAGCCUGGAAUCGGGGCUGUGGCCCUGGACAUCUGAAGAGAAGGUGCCACCCGCGGGGAGGCCCAAGUACCGAUCUAGCGGUGGGAAGGACACCCUCCCACGAAAGGGUGGACGGUGUGUGGCCGUCAAAGGGUCGAGCCAGGCCUGCAGGCUCAGGGAGCCAUCUUGCCCGAGUAGGACAGGACCCAGCCCCACGGACCUCAAGAGCAUCUGAGGGAGAAAAGGGGGACGAGUGAGGCCUGGAGGCCGGGCUGCCAGGGAGGUCACAGGCCACUUCUGUGGACCUCUGGUCUGGCAGAGGUUAGGGGCAGAGGGAGG